Molecule: ribosomal RNA, 999 nt
Filed under: Vibrio ordalii FF-93
Lineage: Bacteria; Pseudomonadati; Pseudomonadota; Gammaproteobacteria; Vibrionales; Vibrionaceae
Description: bacterial SSU rRNA
Rfam family: Bacterial small subunit ribosomal RNA
Source: RNAcentral
UUAAUUGAAGAGUUUGAUCAUGGCUCAGAUUGAACGCUGGCGGCAGGCCUAACACAUGCAAGUCGAGCGGCAGCACAGAGGAACUUGUUCCUUGGGUGGCGAGCGGCGGACGGGUGAGUAAUGCCUAGGAAAUUGCCCUGAUGUGGGGGAUAACCAUUGGAAACGAUGGCUAAUACCGCAUGAUGCCUACGGGCCAAAGAGGGGGACCUUCGGGCCUCUCGCGUCAGGAUAUGCCUAGGUGGGAUUAGCUAGUUGGUGAGGUAAUGGCUCACCAAGGCGACGAUCCCUAGCUGGUCUGAGAGGAUGAUCAGCCACACUGGAACUGAGACACGGUCCAGACUCCUACGGGAGGCAGCAGUGGGGAAUAUUGCACAAUGGGCGCAAGCCUGAUGCAGCCAUGCCGCGUGUAUGAAGAAGGCCUUCGGGUUGUAAAGUACUUUCAGUCGUGAGGAAGGUGGUGUUGUUAAUAGCAGCAUCAUUUGACGUUAGCGACAGAAGAAGCACCGGCUAACUCCGUGCCAGCAGCCGCGGUAAUACGGAGGGUGCGAGCGUUAAUCGGAAUUACUGGGCGUAAAGCGCAUGCAGGUGGUGGAUUAAGUCAGAUGUGAAAGCCCGGGGCUCAACCUCGGAACCGCAUUUGAAACUGGUUCACUAGAGUACUGUAGAGGGGGGUAGAAUUUCAGGUGUAGCGGUGAAAUGCGUAGAGAUCUGAAGGAAUACCGGUGGCGAAGGCGGCCCCCUGGACAGAUACUGACACUCAGAUGCGAAAGCGUGGGGAGCAAACAGGAUUAGAUACCCUGUUAGUCCACGCCGUAAACGAUGUCUACUUGGAGGUUGUGGCCUUGAGCCGUGGCUUUCGGAGCUAACGCGUUAAGUAGACCGCCUGGGGAGUACGGUCGCAAGAUUAAAACUCAAAUGAAUUGACGGGGGCCCGCACAAGCGGUGGAGCAUGUGGUUUAAUUCGAUGCAACGCGAAGAACCUUACCUACUCUUGACAUC